AAAACGACUCUCGGCAACGGAUAUCUCGGCUCUCGCAUCGAUGAAGAACGUAGCGAAAUGAGAUACUUGGUGUGAAUUGCAGAAUCCCGUGAACCAUCGAGUCUUUGAACGCAAGUUGCGCCCCAAGCCAUUAGGCCGAGGGCACGUCUGCCUGGGUGUCACGC
Molecule: ribosomal RNA, 164 nt
Filed under: Palaua cf. tomentosa Schneider et al. 2984
Lineage: Eukaryota; Viridiplantae; Streptophyta; Magnoliopsida; Malvales; Malvaceae
Description: 5.8S ribosomal RNA
Rfam family: 5.8S ribosomal RNA
About the family: 5.8S ribosomal RNA (5.8S rRNA) is a component of the large subunit of the eukaryotic ribosome.
Source: RNAcentral